Molecule: long non-coding RNA, 1787 nt
Organism: Ahaetulla prasina
Lineage: Eukaryota; Metazoa; Chordata; Lepidosauria; Squamata; Colubridae
Exons: 4
Source: RefSeq, a predicted model, not a curated record
GGCGAAGCUACAUUAAAUUCCGGAUGUGCCUUCCGCGGCGUCGUUGUGUUUCAAACGUCGGAAGGCAGGGCUCCCGACUAACGAUAGGCUUGAUUCUGUUUGUCCCUUGUGAGAUUGGCCUCUUUUCUCACACUGGAGGAGGAAGAAGGAGCUGAGUUCCCUAGUCACAUGCUUAACUUAAGGAUCAGGAGAUCCUCCUUUGGAAGACUUCAGUUUUUAGUUGGAGCUUCCCAUUUUGGACCUUUCCAACCCAGGAACCAAUAGAUAAAGAAGAUGGGAUUUGACCAUUUAAUGCAAAAGAAACACAUUCACACACUAGCUUCAGCUUUAGCCUUCAGCAACUGAGGAAGCACUUGUCUUUGCUGAAUCCCUAUUAAAGAUUGCUAUGAUCUUUCCAUUGGGAUCUUGGAGUGAGAAUUCUUUGUGGAUCAAGCAAUUCUAUCUUUCUUCAAGGAGCAGAAGUAAGCCUCUUUCUCAGCCCUGCAGGAACCAAAGCCUGCGGGGCGGGGGGCAAGAUCCUUUUUGAUUUAAAAUUUAUUGUAAUUUUGCUGAUUUAAAGAAAGUGUAUGAUUAAAGGAAUAGGAUUGAACAGAGGCAUGCUUUGUGCAAAUAUGGAGUUGAAAGAUGGUUGCAGAAUGUGCUAAGGCUGAUAAAUGAUGGAAGUGAUACGUGCAUUAAAAUAAAUGGAAUAUUUAGCAAAUAUCUCAUUAUUGUGGAUGGAAUAAAGCAAGGUUAUUUCCUUGAUAGAUUGAUGUUUUUAGGUAUCCUUGUGGUGACAUUAGAAGUGUUCAUUUGGGACAUGAAUGUUUGCAUGCAGAUAAUGCCCUGUGGUCUAUGGUGAUUCUUAAUCAUCCAGGUUGUGGUUGUCCCAAAAGUGCUUUUUUCAAAAGGCAAUUGGACUUUCUUUGGGUUUUUUUUAAUUGAAAAUGUUUUAUUUCAUAUCCAAGUAUUUUCAGUUCUGAACUGAAGAAGCUUCUUGGAUGACAAGCAAAACUUUUUUGAAGAAAAUUACCCAAGAAGAUCUAGUUGCCUUUUGGAAGAAGCACCUUUUGGGAUAAUGCCCUGUUGCUGACUGAGAAAUGGAAUGAUUUGCAAUAAAUAUUAGAUAAAUUGUAUGAUCAGCAAGGAGUAUGGAUCUGAAAUUUAAUGCGUCUAAGAUCUGUUGGAGAGGGAAAAUGAAACAAAUUAUUGAAAGUUGUACAUUAAUAGUAAAAAAUUAAGAGCAAGUACAUGCAAGUACAUGCAUCAUUUGCACCUCUAUAACUGUCUGGUUUGGUUCUGCAACCCAACAAGAAAGACACAGACUUCAGAGGAUAAUUAGAACUGCAGAAAAAAUAAUUGCUACCAACCUACCUUCUAUUGAGGACCUGUAUACUGCACAAAUCAAGAAGAGGGCUGUGAAAAUAUUUACAGAUCCCUCACAUCCAGGACAUAAACUGAUUCAACUCCUACCCUCAAAACGACGCUAUAGAGCACUGCACACCAGAACAACUAGACACAAGAACAGUUUUUCCCCGAAGGCCAUCACUCUGCUAAACAAUUAAUUCCCUCAACACUGUCAAACUAUUUACUAAAUCUGCACUAUUAAUCUUGUCAUCGUUCCCAUCACCAAUCUCUUUCCAGUUAUGACUGUAUGACUGUAACUUUGUUGCUGGCAAUCCUUAUGAUUUAUAUUGAUAUAUUGACCAUCAUUUGUGUUGUAAAUGUUGUACCUUGAUGAACAUAUAUUUUCUUUUAUGUACACUGAGAGCAUAUGCACCAAGACAACUUCCUUGUGUGUCCAAUCA